RNAcentral lists this ribosomal RNA (497 nucleotides) under uncultured bacterium. Its description in RNAcentral is "partial 16S ribosomal RNA". It matches the Rfam family "Bacterial small subunit ribosomal RNA", at positions 28 to 507 of the family's 1533-position model. The record is from RNAcentral.
GAUGAACGCUGGCGGCGUGCCUAAUACAUGCAAGUCGAGCGAACAGAUGAGGAGCUUGCUCCUCUGACGUUAGCGGCGGACGGGUGAGUAACACGUGGAUAACCUACCUAUAAGACUGGGAUAACUUCGGGAAACCGGAGCUAAUCCCGGAUAAUAUAUUGAACCGCAUGGUUCAAUAGUGAAAGACGGUUUUGCUGUCACUAAUAGAUGGAUCCGCGCCGCAUUAGCUAGUUGGUAAGGUAACGGCUUACCAAGGCAACGAUGCGUAGCCGACCUGAGAGGGGGAUCGGCCACACUGGAACUGAGACACGGUCCAGACUCCUACGGGAGGCAGCAGUAGGGAAUCUUCCGCAAUGGGCGAAAGCCUGACGGAGCAACGCCGCGUGAGUGAUGAAGGUCUUCGGAUCGUAAAACUCUGUUAUUAGGGAAGAACAAAUGUGUAAGUAACUAUGCACGUAUUGACGGUACCUAAUCAGAAAGCCACGGCUAACUACGUG